RNAcentral lists this long non-coding RNA (269 nucleotides) under Homo sapiens (human). Its description in RNAcentral is "HSALNT0370472". The record is from RNAcentral. Lineage: Eukaryota; Metazoa; Chordata; Mammalia; Primates; Hominidae.
CUAAAUGUGAGAACCUCCGAUUUGAAGAAGAGGGAGGAGAAAUGUGAGCCCAAGGAGGAAGAAGAACAAAGGAAGAGGGAGAAGAGGAGAAGGAGCUGGAGAAUUGGAGAGUGAGCGAUGAGAGAGAGAAGACGAAUGAGCUGUUUGUAGGGAGAGAAAUUAAAAAUAGAGCCUGGAGAGGCUGCUUUAAUGACGGGGACUUAGGGGAGAGAAAGAAGCAAAGAGGAUCUGAAGGCGGGCCUCCCACUAGCCAAACCCAAGUGAAAGCC